AUCAGAGGGCUCUAGAACAGUAGAGAGAUAUCAGAGGGCUCUAGAACAGUAGAGAGAUAUCAGAGGGCUCUAGAACAGUAGAGGGACAUCAGAUGGCUCUAGAACAGUAUAGAUAUCAGAGGGCUCUAGAACAGUAGAGAGAUAUCAGAGGGCUCUAGAACAGUAGAGGGACAUCAGAUGGCUCUAGAACAGUAGAGGGAUAUCAGAGGGCUCUAGAACAGUAGAGAGAUAUCAGAGGGCUCUAGAACAGUAGAGAGACAUCAGAUGGCUCUAGAACAGUAGAGGGAUAUCAGAGGGCUCUAGAACAGUAGAGAGAUAUCAGAGGGCUCUACAACAGUAGAGAGAUAUCAGAGGGCUCUAGAACAGUAGAGGGACAUCAGAUGGCUCUAGAACAGUAUAGAUAUCAGAGGGCUCUAGAACAGUAGAGAGAUAUCAGAGGGCUCUAGAACAGUAGAGAGAUAUCAGAAGGCUCUAGAACAGUAGAGAGAUAUCAGAGGGCUCUAGAACAGUAGAGAGAUAUCAGAGGGCUCUACAACAGUAGAGAGAUAUCAGAGGGCUCUACAACAGUAGAGAGAUAUCAGAGGGCUCUAUAACAGUAGAGGGACAUCAGAUGGCUCUAGAACAGUAUAGAUAUCAGAGGGCUCUAGAACAGUAGAGAGAUAUCAGAGGGCUCUAGAACAGUAGAGAGACAUCAGAGGGCACUAGAACAGUAGAGAGACAUCAGAGGGCUCUAGAACAGUAGCGAGAUAUCAGAAGGCUCUAGAACAGUAGAGCGAUAUCAGAGGGCUCUACAACAGUAGAGAGAUAUCAGAGGGCUCUAGAACAGUAGAGGGAUAUCAGAGGGCUCUACAACAGUAGCAAGAUAUCAGAAGGCUCUAGAACAGUAGAGAGAUAUCAGAGGGCUCUACAACAGUAGAGAGAUAUCAGAGGGCUCUAGAACAGUAGAGAGAUAUCAGAGGGCUCUAGAACAGUAGAGAGAUAUCAGAGGGCUCUACAACAGUAGCAAGAUAUCAGAAGGCUCUAGAACAGUAGAGAGAUAUCAGAGGGCUCUACAACAGUAGAGAGAUAUCAGAGGGCUCUAGAACAGUAGAGGGAUAUCAGAGGGCUCUAGAACAGUAGAGGGAUAUCAGAGGGCUCUAGAACAGUAGAGAGAUAUCAGAGGGCUCUAGAACAGUAGAGGGAUAUCAGAGGGCUCUAGAACAGUAGCGAGAUAUCAGAGGGCUCUAGAACAGUAGAGGGAUAUCAGAGGGCUCUAGAACAGUAGCGAGAUAUCAGAGGGCUCUAGAACAGUAGAGGGAUAUCAGAGGGCUCUAGAACAGUAGUGAGAUAUCAGAGGGCUCUAGAACAGUAGAGGGCUCUAGAACAGUAGAGAGAUAUCAGAGGGCUCUAGAACAGCAGCGAGAUAUCAGAGGGCUCUAGAACAGUAGCGAGAUAUCAGAGGGCUCUAGAACAGUAGCGAGAUAUCAGAGGGCUCUAGAACUGUAGCGAGAUAUCAGAGGACUCUAGAACAGUAGCGGGAUAUCAGAGGGCUCUAGAACAGUAGAGAGCUAUCAGAGGGCUCUAGAACAGUAGAGAGAUAUCAGAGGGCUAAGGAAUAAAGAACCUUAAGCAGCAAUAUCUCUAUUCCAACAACUCAGGAACCCUCUGAAUUUAAAGGUUAUAGUGUAAUUUGGAUGAACUAUCCCUUUAAGCAAACAGCAAACACAAAGUGAUAGCCUCCCUAUGUACAAGAGAGUCAUUGGAGGCUGGUCAAGGGAGGACGGCUCAUAAUAAUGGCUGGAAUGGAAUAGAUGGAACGGAGUCAAACACUGGGAAGAAACCAAGUCUAGAUGUGUUUGAUGCCUGUCUAUUCAUUCCAGCCAUUACUAUGAGUCCCUCCUCAGAUUCAAGGUGGCACCAGCCACCACUGAUAAGUGUACUGACUGAGACCUUUUAAAGAGGAGCAACUGACUGAGACCUUUUAAAGAGGAACAACUGACUGAGACCUUUUAAAGAGGAACAACUGACUGAGACCUUUUAAAGAGGAACAACUGACUGAGACCUUUUAAAGAGGAGCAACUGACUGAGACCUUUAAAGAGGAGCAACUGACCGAGAUCUUUAAAGAGGAGCAACUGACUGAGACCUUUUAAAGAGGAACAACUGACUGAGACCUUUUAAAGAGGAGCAACUGACUGAGACCUUUUAAAGAGGAACAACUGACUGAGACCUUUUAAAGAGGAGCAACUGACUGAGACCUUUUAAAGAGGAACAACUGACUGAGACCUUUUAAAG
Oncorhynchus tshawytscha (Chinook salmon) is the source of this 2272-nucleotide long non-coding RNA. Lineage: Eukaryota; Metazoa; Chordata; Actinopteri; Salmoniformes; Salmonidae. The record is from Ensembl.